CCUACGGGAGGCAGCAGUGAGGAAUAUUGGUCAAUGGCCGUAAGGCUGAACCAGCCAAGUCGCGUGAAGGAAGAAGGAUCUAUGGUUUGUAAACUGCUUUUAUAGGGGAAUAAAGGUAUCCACGUGUGGUUAUUUGUAUGUACCCCAUGAAUAAGCACCGGCUAAUUCCGUGCCAGCAGCCGCGGUAAUACGGAGGAUCCGAGCGUUAUCCGGAUUUAUUGGGUUUAAAGGGUGCGUAGGUUGUAUUUUAAGCCUGCGGUGAAAGUUUGUGGCUCAACCAUAGAAUUGCGGUUGAAACUGGAAGGCUUGAGUGUGCUGGAGGUAGGCGGAAUGCGUGGUGUAGCGGUGAAAUGCAUAGAUAUCACGAAGAACUCCGAUUGCGAAGGCAGCUUACUAAGCCAUAACUGACACUGAAGCACGAAAGCGUGGGGAUCAAACAGGAUUAGAUACCCUUGUAGUC
Molecule: ribosomal RNA, 460 nt
Filed under: uncultured bacterium
Lineage: Bacteria
Description: partial 16S ribosomal RNA
Rfam family: Bacterial small subunit ribosomal RNA
Source: RNAcentral